This 474-nucleotide ribosomal RNA is filed under the name uncultured bacterium. Its description in RNAcentral is "partial 16S ribosomal RNA". It matches the Rfam family "Bacterial small subunit ribosomal RNA", at positions 28 to 507 of the family's 1533-position model. The record is from RNAcentral.
GACGAACGCUGGCGGCGUGCUUAACACAUGCAAGUCGAGCGGUAAGGCUCCUUCGGGCGUACACGAGCGGCGAACGGGUGAGUAACACGUGAGUAAUCUGCCCUUCACUUCGGGAUAACCACCGGAAACGGUGGCUAAUACCGAAUACGACCAGUCUUCGCAUGAGGUGCUGGUGGAAAGUCUUUUCGGUGAAGGAUGUGCUCGCGGCCUAUCAGCUUGUUGGUGGGGUAAUGGCCUACCAAGGCUUCGACGGGUAGCCGGCCUGAGAGGGUGACCGGCCACACUGGGACUGAGACACGGCCCAGACUCCUACGGGAGGCAGCAGUGGGGAAUAUUGGACAGUGGGCGAAAGCCUGAUCCAGCAACGCCGCGUGAGGGAUGACGGCCUUCGGGUUGUAAACCUCUUUCAGUACCGACGAAGCGCCCUGUCGGGUGGUGACGGUAGGUACAGAAGAAGGACCGGCCAACUACGUG